This 253-nucleotide ribosomal RNA is filed under the name uncultured bacterium. Its description in RNAcentral is "partial 16S ribosomal RNA". It matches the Rfam family "Bacterial small subunit ribosomal RNA", at positions 524 to 776 of the family's 1533-position model. The record is from RNAcentral.
UACGAAGGGGGCUAGCGUUGCUCGGAAUCACUGGGCGUAAAGGGCGCGUAGGCGGGCCGGCAAGUCAGGGGUGAAAUCCCACGGCUCAACUGUGGAAGUGCCUUUGAUACUGCCGGUCUGGAGGGAGGUAGGGGCGUGCGGAACUUCCGGUGGAGCGGUGAAAUGCGUAGAUAUCGGAAGGAACACCGGUGGCGAAAGCGGCGCGCUGGACCUCUACUGACGCUGAGGCGCGAAAGCCAGGGGAGCAAACGGG